GGUUGGGUAGCGAAGAGGCUAAACGCGGCAGACUGUAAAUCUGCUCCUUAGGGUUCGGCGGUUCGAAACCGUCCCCAACCACCA
RNAcentral lists this transfer RNA (84 nucleotides) under Anaeroplasma sp. Its description in RNAcentral is "tRNA-Tyr". It matches the Rfam family "tRNA". Rfam says of the family: Transfer RNA (tRNA) molecules are approximately 80 nucleotides in length. Their secondary structure includes four short double-helical elements and three loops (D, anti-codon, and T loops). Further hydrogen bonds mediate the characteristic L-shaped molecular structure. tRNAs have two regions of fundamental functional importance: the anti-codon, which is responsible for specific mRNA codon recognition, and the 3' end, to which the tRNAs corresponding amino acid is attached (by aminoacyl-tRNA synthetases). tRNAs cope with the degeneracy of the genetic code in two manners: having more than one tRNA (with a specific anti-codon) for a particular amino acid; and 'wobble' base-pairing, i.e. permitting non-standard base-pairing at the 3rd anti-codon position. RNAcentral also lists the same sequence under 5 other names. Lineage: Bacteria; Bacillati; Mycoplasmatota; Mollicutes; Anaeroplasmatales; Anaeroplasmataceae. The record is from RNAcentral.